UUCAGAUGGAGGAAAGAGGUUGCACCAGAGCCUUGGAUCUGCUUUGCCUGAGGGAUGGUUCGGACUGCGUGAGUGAGUCACAGAAGGGUCUCAUGGGAACAGAAAGUUUGAGAGAGUUUACUGUUUGUGCAAAAUGACUGGUUGGGUAAAGAAGUCCAAAGUUUAUUAUCUGCAGAACAAAUAAAACCUGGGCAAAGGUAUAAAAGCAGUGUGUUCCUGAGGUCCAAAUUGCAGGAGGAAGACCAAAGGAAAAUAAAAGGCAGGGUUC
Neogale vison (American mink) is the source of this 268-nucleotide long non-coding RNA. RefSeq lists it as uncharacterized. NCBI's taxonomy places the organism in Eukaryota, Metazoa, Chordata, Mammalia, Carnivora, Mustelidae. The record is from RefSeq and is a predicted model, not a curated record. The transcript has 3 exons.